This 3526-nucleotide ribosomal RNA is filed under the name Triticum aestivum (bread wheat). RNAcentral's name for it is "partial small subunit ribosomal RNA". Lineage: Eukaryota; Viridiplantae; Streptophyta; Magnoliopsida; Poales; Poaceae. The record is from RNAcentral.
CUUUCUAAAUUGAAAAAAAGCACGCCAGAAAACACACACGAGAACGGGCUCUCCUCUCCCUCGCCUCCCGAUCCCAACCGCCAGGCGCUCGAUCUGGUGCCGCGCCGGCCAUCCGGGCGCGGCGUCGAUGGAUCUGGCGGUGGGUGCGGCGUCUUGCUCCGGUGGCAACGGUGUCCUGCUGAUGCAAAGAGACCAGGGCGUGAGGGAGAGAGGAAGAAAGGAGGAGAAGGGGCACAAGGUGAGGGAGGCGGUCGCCGGCGACGGCGGCUCCGGUGACCGGCCGGAGGGAAGGGAGAGGAACUCAUGUUGAGGCGGCGCGGCUUGGUGCACGCUGGUUUCUCCGGAUCGACCCCCUACUCAGAUCUGCACGCCCCUGAUGAUUGGAGGUGUGCCUUUCACAUGUUCGUUGAGUUGCAGCAACAAGGACAGAUGGCCAUCUUCACAGGUUAUGCCCCUUACUGUAAUUUGCAUUCAGUUAUGUGCAGUAAUAAUGCCAUAUUUGUUAGCCUGCUAGCUGUUUCCAGAUUUUUUUAGACAUGAUUGACUGCUUCUACACAAAAGGAGUUUGUCGAAAAUAAGAGCAAUCCCAUUGUUGCUACAGAGCCCGAAGAUUCUUUGCCUUUCUUUGAACUGUUUGAGUUUUUUCUUUCAUAUGGCUACAAUUAUUUGAUUGGUCCAUGUAGAUUUAGGCAACAUGAGAUGAGCCGAUGAUAUAUAUUGUAAUAUACGAUGUCUAUUGCUACAAGUGUUGAUGUCUUGGUGAUGGCAGGUUUUGCAAGUAAUUGAAAUGCUUUUUGAGUAGAGGAUAAUUAGAGAUAUAAUGUUCUACCUGAUCUUGAGGUAUGUGAAAGUGAACUCGGUGAUUUUGAGUAAUUCUAAGAGUAUACAUCUCAUCUAUCAGGUAUCCUUUUUUGAGUAAUGCUGAGAGGAUACAUCUCAUCUAUGAGGAAUUAAUCCAUCUCGUUUUCUCUGUGUUUACCUUGUUCUACAAAUGGCUAACUAGGUAAUGAUUAUUGAUAGCUAAUGACAUGAGGGAGAGGGGGACAAGCCCCUUUAGCUACUGCAAUGUGGUUGUGCAUACAAAUGUGCUACUCAUAUUCCACUGUUAGACGAGCCAGGCGCGAGAAGCAGGUUAUAAGGGGAGCCAGAGAGGUGAGGGAGGUGACCAAAGCGGCAGCGGCCUUGGGGUGCCGAAGAAGAGUGCGUAGGAGGAUGGAAAGGGGCUCUUAUACGACGGCUGGAAGAGAACUAUGCUCUCCUAAACCUGAAUGGGCCAGAAGUGACAAGACAGACAGAUCUGGCAGUCAAUUAUUCUUCAGUUUCGGUUGUGAUGUUUCAACAUGAGUUCAGAGCGUUAAUGCUUUGCUGAUGCGAGGAGGUGAAGUUGUAUGCUACCAGAGUGCAGAUAUUUCUUGGUGUGUUUGCUUUCAAGAAAAGAUGGAUGUGUGUUGUGACUGUGACAGAUGGUUCUACUGGAUAUGUUGUUGGGUUUAUAACAAGAAGCAUUGGUAAGGAUAUCAAAAUACAAGAGAAUGCUGCAACGACCAAGGUGCCAUAUAUAUAUCGAAGGAGGAUUCAGAAUAUGAAGUUACUGGAAACAUUGUUGGAAGUGUUGGUCCUGAGAGCACAGAAAAGGAUUCAUCGUUUCUUAUAAAAACAUUACAAUCAUUCAAAGAAGCUUUGAUCAAGGAGGAUGACACAAAUGUUGCUGAGAUUGAGGCCUUCUUACUUUGCAUUGAUGUCGAUGAUGAGAAGAACUCUCUUAUGAGGAAAAUCAUUGCUUUGAAUUAUUGAUAACUGUGAGAGAUCGUGUCUUGAGAGCAGGUGCAAAAUCUGAAUUCUACAGAUUGAGAGAGGUGCAGAUUCUGAAUUCUGCACACAGAAGACAGAACAGAGAGCUGGUGGCAAAUGUGCAAGGGGAAGUUAUGGAGAGCUUUCUUUGCUAGCUGAAUAAGUCUAUCAGGAGUCAAGGCCUGUUUUGUUGGAGGCUUGAUGGAACUUGCCUGGCCUGAUAAGUAACUGUGCGCGCGGUCGUCCUGGGUGCUUGGCUUGAGCUAGCAUGCCGUGUUGUUAUCUUGGUUGAGGCAGCUGGAGUUAGCAAGGUGAUUAGUCAAGGGUGGCUGUCGAUGCCAUCUAAAAAAUAGGUGUUAAAACUUCAUAUUUUCUCAGGAAAAAUUCGUAUGAAUUAAUGAAUAUCAGGCUACAUUCAGGCGAUAUUGUUUGUCAGGCACAGAGCUCAGGGUAGCAACCACACAUUUAAGUGAGCUUUUGUUGAAAUGCGUUGGUACUUUAGUUUUUAGAUUCUGUGAUGAUGGUAUGCAUAAAUACAUGAGCUCUUUCAACCAGUACCACAUAGUAUUAAUGAGGUAACAGAAACUUGCAAUUCCAUUAUCCUGCAUCUGCCCAAGUCUAGAAGGUCAGAUAAGUUGUUCCACAAGAUAGACAACAAUUUUUUAUGAGUCAUCACAGUGGGCCGAGAACUUGUUGAUGAAGCCAAUGAUUGGGUUGAUCAUAGUGAUACGGCAUCAGACGUAAUGCUAGAUUUAACCCCAGACAAAUGGGCAAACAUGAAAAGAGGAAAGAUGUCAAUGCAUGAGCCAGAGGGUUCCAGUGGUGAAUAUUUUGGACCAGAAGUUAUGGAUGUUUCACGCGAAGAAGCCAUUCUUUCCAAUGUUUACAUAUAAGAUAUACCAGUACAUCCCAAUUGGUAGGGCCCCUCCACUAAUAAGCUGGAUAUCCUUUUAACAAGUAGCUCGGAGAGAAUAAAGCGUUAUAUUUUAUCAUACUUUUAUAGUUUAACAUGUCAAAGAAGGGAGAUGAGACACCAGCGGAUGGCAAGAUGGAUGAACUGUUGGACAGUGUUAGCCUUAAUUACCUAAUUCCUAAUGAAGUGGAAAACUUUAUGACCAGCAUAGAAAAUGUGCAACACUCUUCUUCUGAGCAUGAAGGGCAAAAUGAUGAUUUCGAAGCAAAUAUCAUUGAGCAAGAUGAACACAUUGGAAAGAUUUUACUAAUCUUACUGUUGCAUGCAAAGACAUUGGUGAUGUCAUAUCAGAAGACCCACAGAAGGUUUAGGUUUCCGAGGGCAAGCAGAAAUAAGUGAUAGCUAUGCCGGUAUUCUAAAUAAUGGCAACACAUAUUAUGUAAACACAGUUCUGCAGUAUUUUCAUUGUUUAUCGGAGCUCAAAGAAAUCUUAAUAAUUUGUGAAGACGUAUGAGUGCUCGGGGCUGAUGUUCUAUGGUUGAUUUCGGGAUGUGUAAGAGCAGGGCGAAUACCACUAUAUCAUACUCUCUUGACUGGGAUGAACUUCGCCUUUUUGUAGAAAAGUGAUAGAAUAAGAAUUGUGAUUUCUGCUGCUAUUAUGAUAUGCUUUUCUAAUAUUCUUUGCUACCACUCUUUGUUGUAUCAAUUAUUUGUUGUGUGAACCAUGUGGCGGGUCGAGCUCAGAUGAUUCAGAUAGGAUAGAGUGGGCGUCGAAAAUCGCCCGUGACAUUCUAGGUGAAUUCUAGCCGUUGCUAGCAAGGC